GAUGAACGCUGGCGGCGUGCCUAAUACAUGCAAGUCGAGCGAACAGACGAGGAGCUUGCUCCUCUGACGUUAGCGGCGGACGGGUGAGUAACACGUGGAUAACCUACCUAUAAGACUGGGAUAACUUCGGGAAACCGGAGCUAAUACCACCUCAUAUAUUGAACCGCAUGGUUCAAUAGUGAAAGACGGUUUUGCUGUCACUUAUAGAUGGAUCCGCGCCGCAUUAGCUAGUUGGUAAGGUAACGGCUUACCAAGGCGACGAUGCGUAGCCGACCUGAGAGGGUGAUCGGCCACACUGGAACUGAGACACGGUCCAGACUCCUACGGGAGGCAGCAGUAGGGAAUCUUCCGCAAUGGGCGAAAGCCUGACGGAGCAACGCCGCGUGAGUGAUGAAGGUCUUCGGAUCGUAAAACUCUGUUAUUAGGGAAGAACAAAUGUGUAAGUAACUAUGCACGUCUUGACGGUACCUAAUCAGAAAGCCACGGCUAACUACGUG
RNAcentral lists this ribosomal RNA (497 nucleotides) under uncultured bacterium. RNAcentral's name for it is "partial 16S ribosomal RNA". It matches the Rfam family "Bacterial small subunit ribosomal RNA", at positions 28 to 507 of the family's 1533-position model. The record is from RNAcentral.